UAACAUUGUAUUUUAGUGUUUUCAGAAUAAAAGCUAAGUGGAAGUGAUAACUUGGAAAAGCUGGGCAAAACAAAGGAAAAAUGACCUGCGAUGGCACAAGUGAUGGAACAUCGGUAUUGCGACGAAUCGUCAGCCAAAUCUAGAAGGAUACCUUACUGGAAUCCAAAUGAUGGUACGAUCCGACAGGAUGUCAAACAUUCGAUGGACCAUCAACUUGCACCGUCAACUUGAAGAUGGAAAUACCAAACACUAGAAACAAGUGACGGUAUGCUUCGAUAGUCCGUCGAACCUUUAACGGACCAUCUACCUCAACUGUCGAACAUAAGCAACACUCAACAUCACUGGAAACCCAGCGACGGUAUAUGUGACAACACCGUCGGACCUGCGACGUACCGGACUUUCACCGUUGGUUUUGAUGCAGCGAAGUUAUGUUUGAAUUUUGGAACCCUGACUUUUGGGAAUACUAUAAAUACUAAGUGCUAGGGUUCAGUUGGCACUAUCCAUGCUUAGACACCUUUAAUUUUUCUUAGUCUCCAUCUUAGCUUAGUUUUUCUACAUUCUCACCUACUCUUUGACUAUUCUUUUUAGGGGAUAGAUCUGAGAUCUACAUUUCUAGAUCUAGACAGAUCUAGCUUUCAUCUUUCAUUUUCCAUCAAGUUUUCUAGAUUGUAAAACUCAUUGGUAACUUAGUUCAUAUUGGAAAACUAAGCACUAGCUUGUGGAUCCAAUCACUUCAUCUCUAUUGAGGACCCAAGAACUUAUUCUUGUAAUUGUUGUAAGUAACAUUGCAUUAUUUAUGAGUAAUACAAUGAUAUCUUCUAUUUUUUCAAUGGAAAUGUGUGGCUAAGCUUCCAUAACUAGAGUUAUGGAAGCCUUGAUGUAAGUAACUAGUUUUGGGUUGUGAAUCAAUUUGAGUUCCAUGAACACUUGAUGUUGUAUAAGCCUUUCUUCGGUUUUAAUGACUUUUCUUAGUUGCAGACUAGACAAAGUCAGCACUAUAACAUCACUUGUUCGAGAGGAAGGUGUUGUUGGGUUACUUCAAUGAAGCAAUCAUUUGUCAGGAAGGAAGGUACUUGUCGAGCAAUGUAACAAUUUCUCUUAUUUAUAAAUAGAACAAUCAAUACUAUAAAACCACAUGUCCAAAGGGAAAGUGUUGUUGGGUUACUUCGAUGAAGCAAUCACUUGUCCGAGAGGAAGGUGCUUGUCGAGCAAUGUAACGAUUCUUCUUGUUCGUGACUUGAAAGGUAAUCCCUUGUAUGCGCACUAGAAAGGUCAGCAAUAGAACAUCACCUAUCCAAGAGGAAGGUGUUGUUAGGUUACUUCGAUGAACCAAUCACUUGUUCGAGAGGAAGGUGCUUGUGGAGAACUGUAACGACCUUUCUUGAGUGUAACAGGGAUAGCCCACGAACAUCACUUGUCCGAGAGAAAAGUGUAUGUUGGGAAAAGGAAGGAUUUACAUGCACUCUAAAGCUUCCAACCUUUAGAUUAAGGGCAAAUGCCUUAACCGGAUCUGCCUACAUGAGAAAACAACUGAAUAAACAACACGUUCGUUAAGUUUGAGAGAAUCAAAGAAUAGUCUACCCACUGAGAUCGAGAGCUGAAUGGGUAAAUAAUAGGAUUCAACUACCCUUACAACUUACGUUAACAAAUAGGACUCUAACGAGAUUCACAGCCAUAGCAGUUCACACAUCUUGGUAACCAUAACUCUGAUUUGUUUAACAUCUUGACUUACUACUUGAAAAUAGAAUUUUCAGUUUGAGUUAUUUUAUAGUAAAUUAGAUCAUACAUCAAACUAUCCAAACCCUCCAUUUAGUGGAAACUAUUAGCUAUUAGCCGAUUGUAUCACAAGUAGCUUAUAUUAACAUCUUAUUCUCUGUGGGAUUCGACCCCAACCUAGUUGGGUUCUAUAUUUGACAGCGACCGCUUACAUUCUCGUAAGAGAGGUGUAAUUUGGGCGUAUCAAAUUUUAGCGCCAUUGCUGGGGAAUAUGGUUGUCGAUUAAGUUUAUUUGUGUUAAUUGACUGACUAGUUAAAUUUUUGAAUUUUAUGUUGUUUGUUGUUUUUGUUAGUUACAGGUAUUGUGGUUGAUGCCACAAACCAGAAGUUCGGGAGAACCAUUAUUACCAUUUAAUCCUGAACCUCAACUGAUAGGUAGAAUGGCAAACCAACAAAAAGUUAACAGAUUGGCGCUUUGGCUAAUGCGGAAUUACGUCAGCAAAAUGUGGACAAUGCAGAUCGUAGAAUAAACCUAGAAAAUGAGGAUCUAGGCGAUGAUGAGUUGUUGAAUCCGAUGAAUCAGCGACGCGUCGAUGCUAUGCUUGGCCCGACAAACAGGCAUGCCAAUAGAAAUUGUUGUGGAUGGGCAAGGCCAGAACGUCAAGCAGUGCAAUUGGAUAUUGAUAAUGAUGAUGAUGAUGAUCUGGAUGGAGUAGGUGCAACAGGAGCUAUCAUUCCUCCGCCAUUAGUACCAAGGGCAAAGUUCAACACCAUAAGCACCAUGAUUCAGUUACUACAUCUCAAUGGGUUAUUUGGUGGCCUGGCAGGCGAUGACCCGAAUAUGUAUUUGAUAAAUUUUAUCACAACAUACAGAUCAUUUAAAAACCUUGGAGUUGGUCAAAAUGCUAUUCGGUUGCGGCUAUUUCUAUUAUCUCGGCCUGGAGAAGCAACUCUAUGGUUGAACGGGUUAACUCUAGGUUUCAUUACACAUCGGAAUCAAUUGAAAGAUGUAUUUCUUGAGAGAUUCUUCCCGCCAUUGAAGUGAGCACAGCUGAGGGAUGAAAUCAGCAACUUUAGACAGCUUACUACUGAAGCUCUCUAUGAAACUUAGGAGAGGUUCAAGAAGAAGCUCAGGCAGUGCCCUAAUCAUCAUUGACCAAUGUCCACCUAAUAGAGAUAUUAUAUCGAGCCUUAAAGUCGAUGACGAAGCAAGUUAUGGAUAAUGCAGCAAGUGGAGCAUUCAUGGAUCUUACUUAUCCAGAGGCAGUUGAAAUGCUUGAUCGUAUGACAAAGCAAAGUAGAGCGUGGCAUACUAGGGAGUCCGAGGUAGCAAGCUCUACUAUGUUUAUGGACAUGAUAGUUGAACAAAGGCGAAGAGAAGAAGAACGUGAGCAAGACAUGACUCACUUGAAAACUCAGAUGGAUCUGCUAACCAAGCAUUUACUAUCUGGUAAAAUGGAGCGAGUAAAAGAAGUGGGUGCUCAUGGGCGAGAUGAAUCUGAAGGCAAAGAAGAAGCAAAUUAUGUGUAUAACCAGGGUGUUUCCGAGGCAGUGGCCAAGGAAACCAAGGUCAAAACUUCUACAAAAGUAGCCAAGGAAAUCAAGGGCAAAAUUACUACGAGAAAUCAGGCUAUAGGGAGCACGACCAAGACAAUUGGAAGAAUAGGGGGAACAGGAGCGGUUUGUACGUUCCUCCUACAAAUCGUAAAGCUGCUACAACUAGUUCAGGGAAGAUGUCCAUGGAGGAAAUGUUUGCCCAAUUAAUGAAGAAUCAAGAGGCACAGACGGGCAAAAUAAUGAAAAUCCAAGAAGCACAAGCGAUCACAAUGAAUGAAAUGAGGCGAGAUAUAUCUUCUGCAAAUCAAAUGAUUGGUUCACGUACAGCUUCAAUAAAACAAUUAGAGCAACAAAUGAACCAAUUAUCUGUCUCAGUGAACCAGUGAAAUAGUGGCACACUUCCGAGCAAUACAAUACAAAAUCCUCAAAAUAACGGUGCUUAUAUGGCAAUUACCACCAGGAGUGGUAAGACACUACCAGGUCCUUCUGUGAGCAAAAAUGUUGUUAAUGAAGUAGCCGAUAAAGGUAGCAAAAAUAAAGAAAGUUUUCCAGCAGAACCUGAAAAGCUGGAAGAUAAUGAAACUCCCCCUAACAGUCAACCGAUUGAUGAGUUAGAGGAAGGAAAGCAGAAGGAAAAGGAAGUAGUUCUUACUCCUAUUCCUAGAGCACCACCUCUUUUUCCCUAUAGGUUGAAGAAGAAGGCCGAUGACAUAAAGUUUGGUAAAUUCAUGGCAAUGCUUAAACAGUUGACAAUAAAUUUUCCAUUGGUUGAAGCAUUGGAGCAGAUGCUCGGGUACGCUAAAUUUAUGAAAGACCUAGUCACUAAAAAGCGAGCAGUCAUCCAUGAGUUAAAAGAUAAUCUCCAUCACUGUGGAGCUAUUUCCACAAGGUCUUUGGUACAAAAGAAAGCAGACCCCAAAGCAUUCACUAUUCCAUGCACAAUCGGGUCCUUUGAGUUUGCUAAGGCGUUAUGUGAUCCGGGAGAAAACAUCAAUUUGAUGCCACUAGUAAUCUAUAAGAAGCUGGGUUUGGGCAAUCCUACGCCCAUAAACAUGAGAUUAGUGAUGGCCGAUACAUCAAUAAAGCGACCUGUGGGAAUACUGUAUGACGUGCUUGUCAAAGUGGAGAAUUUUAUAUUCCCUUUAGAUUUUGUCAUCUUAGACUAUGAAGUAGACUUUGAGGUGACCAUAAUCUUAGGUCGACCUUUCCUUGCCAUGGGCAGCGUGCUCAUCAAUCUGCGAGCUAACCAACUGUUAUUCAAAUUAACUGAUGAGGUUGUCAAGUUUGAUGUCUGUUAGUCCAUGAAACAACCCAAAGAAACGAGUGUGCUAUCUAUUGAGGAUGUGUAAUAUGAAGAUGAUAGAGAGGUCUCAAUACUAUAAGAAGGAUGUUGUUGAACCUCUAGCAGUGGUUAUAAUAAAUUUCAACAGUGAGGGUAUUGAGGAUUAUGAAGAGACCAUUUGUGCAUUGAAUGGAAUGGGUUCGUAUUUAUGUGCACCCAAAAAACUAAAUUUAGAUCUGAAGAAUCGACCAACACCGCCGGCUAAGCCAUCCAUUGAAGAGCCACCGGUGUUGGAAUUGAAAGAGCUGCCAAGCCAUUUAAAGUAUGUGUUUCUAGGCAAUGAAAACAUAUUACCUAUCAUUAUUGCAGCUGACUUGGAUGAUCAACAGGUGGAAGCACUUGUUUUGGUGCUUCAGAAGUACAAGAAAGCAAUAGGCUGGACUAUUGUCGAUAUUAUUGGCAUUCCUCCGGGCAUUUGCAUGCAUAAGAUACAUCUUGAGGAAAAUUGCAAGCUGACCAUCGAACAUCAAUGGAGACUAAAUCCACCAAUGGAAGAAGUAUUGAAAAGGGAGAUUAUCAAAUGGCUUGAUGCAUAGGUAGUCUAUCCUAUUUCAGACAGCAAGUGGGUGAGCCCCGUACAGUAUGUGCCCAAAAAGGAGGGCCUGAUAGUGGUCGUCAAUGAAAAGAAUAAGUUAAUUACACUCAGACCAGUCAUCGGGUGGAGAAUUUAUAUGAACUAUGGAAAUCUGAACUCGUGGACAUUAAAAGAUCAUUUCCCAAUGCCCUUUAUGGAUCAAAUACUAACUAGAUCAUUUAGCGGAAACGGGAUGGUAUUACUUCUUAGAUUGUUAUUCUGUCUAUAAAAAAAUCUAUAUUGCUCAUGAAUACCACGAGAAGACGACGUUCACAUGCCCGUAUGGCACUUUUGCAUUCAAGCGAAUGCCUUUUGAGUUAUGUAAUGCACCAGCCACUUUCCAGAGAUGUAUGACAUCCAUAUUUUCAGACAUGGUUGAAGACACUUUGGAAGUGUUCAUGGAUGAUUUCUCGGUGGUUGGAGAUUCAUUUGAGCUGUGUUUGGGGAACCUCAUAAAUCCUUAUAACGAUGUGAAGAAUUUAACCUCGUACUCAAUUAGGAAAAAUGUCACUUCAUGGUGAAGGAGGGCAUUGUUCUAAGGCACAGAAUUUCAUCAAAUGGAAUUAAAGUCGACAAGGCAAAGGUAGAAGUGAUUGAGAAAUUACCCCCUCAUAUCUCUGUGAAAUGAGUUCGUAGUUUCUUGGGGCAUGCUGGAUUCUACCGCCCAUUUAUUAAAGACUUCUCCAAAAUCGCAAGUCCACUGUGCAAACUUCUAGAGAAGGAAGCUAAGUUUGUAUUUUAUGAAGAGUGCAGGAAGGCAUUUAAAUGCCUUAAGGAGAAGCUUGUCGCUGCCCCCGUGAUCGUCGCACCUGAUUGGUCAAUGCCCUUUGAAAUUAUGUGCGACGCCAGUGGAGUGGCGCUAGGUGUUGUCCUAGUCCAAAAGCGUGAGAAGAUUUUUCAUCCAAUUUAUUAUGCGAGCAAAGCACUGAAUGGGGCACAAAAACACUACACCAUCACAGAACAAAAACUCCUUGCAGUGGUAUACGCCUUUGAAAAGUUUUGAGCAUAUCUACUAGGAACUAAGAUAGUCGUACACACUGACCAUGCUGCUUUGAGAUAUCUAAUGGCCAAAAAGGAUGCAAAGAUAAGACUGAUUCGGUGGGUUCUGCUACUGCAAGAUUUUGAUUUUGAUGUAAGAGACCGUAAAGGAUGUGAAAAUCAAGUGGCAGACCAUCUAUCAAGGCUUGAAGGGAAACAUAAAGUAGCAGGUGAAUUCGAAAUUGAUGAUGCAUUUUUGGAUGAAGAGAUCUUGGCAGCUACACUUGAAAAGAUACCCUGGUAUGCAAACUUCGCUAACUAUGUGGUAAGCAAAGUGAUUCUGGAAAAUCUCUCCUUCCAACUAAAGAAGAAAUUUCUGCGUGAUAUGGUAUACUACUUUUGGGAUGAACCAUACGUGUUUUGAAAGUGUGCUGAUAAUAUUAUAAGGAGGUGUGUCCCAGAGGUAGAGAUGGUGAAUAUCCUAGAAGCAUGUCAUUCUUCUCCUGUUAGAGGACACCACGCAGGAUAUCGAACGUCCCAAAAAGUAUUACAAAGCGGUUACCAUUGGCCCAACCUAUUCAAUGAUGGUUAUGAGUUUGUCCGAAGAUGCGACCAAUGUCAGCGACAAGGCUCGAUUUCCAAACAACAUGAGAUACCGAUGAAUAGGAUAAUGGAGGUAGAGCUGUUCAAUGUUUAGGGAAUAGACUUCAUGGGACCAUUUGUAAGCUCUUACAAUAUGAAUUAUAUUUUGGUUAUAGUGGACUACGUAUCAAAAUGGGUUGAAGCCAUUGCACUAGUCGAUAAUGAAGGGAGAAGAGUCGUUGCAUUUCUAAAAAAGCACCUUUUUUCUAGAUUUAGGGUUCCACGCACAAUCAUAAGUGAUGGGGGAUCUCACUUCUGCAACAGACUAUUCUGAGCCACAUUGGCUAAAUAUGGAGUUAAACAACAUAAGGUGGCCACCCACUCCAUACCAUCCACAAACUAGCGGACAAGUAGAGGUGUCCAACAGAGAAAUUAAAUCCAUAUUGGCCAAAAUCGUAAAUGCUAGUCAGCAAGAUUGGUCGCGUAAGCUGGAUGAUGCCCUUUGGGCAUAUCGAACAAUAUUCAAAAACCCCAUCGGCAUGUCCCCCUACCAAAUGGUUUAUGGUAAGGCGUGUCACUUGCCGGUGGAAUUAGAGCAUAAAGCUUUGUGGGCUUUGAAGAAGUUGAACUUGGAAUAGAAUGAAGCUGCGAAAUUGAGGAUGGGACAGCUUAAUGAGAUGGAUGAAUUUCAUCUCAAUGCCUAUGAGCAGGCGGACCUCUACAAAGAAAAGUCGAAGAAGUACCAUGAUCAGCGAAUCACGCAUCGUACCUUCCAAAAAGGUGAUUUGGUACUCCUUUUCAAUUCCAGGCUGAAGCUAUUUCCAGGGAAAUGUCCAAAUGGUUUGGUCCAUUUAAAGUUUACCAAGUUUAUGCAUCUGGCAUAGUGGAGAUCGAACAUGAAAAUGGCAGUACGUUCAAAGUUAACAGGCAGCGGGUGAAGUUAUAUAUCAGUCCACAAGAUGCAAUAAAUAUUGUGAUUGACAUUGAUCUCGAGGAAAUCUGAGUAAUCGAGGCAACUAAGUCAUGCCGCGAUAAUAAAUCAGGCACUAGUGAGGCAACCCAUGUUUUUGUUGUUUUGUUUCAUUCCUUUAAAGAAUAAGUAGUUGUUUUAUGCAAAACUGAAGAGUUUAUGUAAGUGUGCAGGUACCUAGGUGCUAAAAGCAGACACUAAAGAGAUUCAGGGUAAUCGAUAGAGGACUCCGACGAACCGUCGCAUAUGCGAUGGGAUGUCGAGGGCCAUCAUUGAACCUAGUUCAGAAAUAGAGAUUCUGGAAGAUAUGCGACGGCAGACACCGACGGACCAUCGUACAUCCGGCUUACCGUUGAAGUUCACCUCAAUGACAAGUUCCAGAUGAGUUCACUGGAAAGUAUAGACGGUAGAACCGACAAACCGUCGCACAUUCAACAGACCAUCGCAUACACCGUCGCACUUAACCCUAAGUCUCGCGGAUUGAAUCGGAUCGCUUUAAAUAGCCGAUUUUAAAUAUCAAAAUUAUCCAAAUGGUUUUACAUUGAUAAAGUGGAAUGGUUACUUAUAACUCCCACCUUUUCAAAUAGCCUGCACCCUUUUAUUUUCUUUAAAAACCUUUCAUCUCUCUAUUUAAACUCCCUUUCCUUCUCUCAUUACACAAGCAAACACUUCAUUCUCAUUAUAGCAAAUAGUCAGAAGGUGGGUAAAAUUCCUUGCUUAGGGUUUGAAGCAAUACUUCAAAUCCUGUACACUCCAGGUAUGAUUCUUGCACUUACAUCUUUAGUUCAUUUAUCAUAAUAAACAAAUCGAAUAAGUAAAAGAUACAAAAUUGCAUGAAUAUUUCCUUUGCUUCUUGUCAACAAUAUCUGGGUUUGAUUUGAGCAGAAAUCGAGUACGCAUUAUCCUGGGGGAAGUCUGAGUAACCCAUGGACUAAGAAUGUUGUACUAAGGUGAUGAAUGAGAACGAAAAAUACUGUGCAAAAUCACCUUUAAAUAAGAAACACACAAAGUGUUUGAUGAAAUGCCUAAAAGAGGCUAAGAUUGAAAAAUGACCUGCGACGGUACGCAUCGACGGUACAUCGGUCUUGCGACGGACCAUCACUUGUCACCGUCGCACCUGAGCAGGCCACACCUUCACUGGAAUUAUUCGACGAUAGGGACCGAUGAACCAUCGCUUAUUCGAUGGAAUAUCACAACCCACCAUCGUACCUGACUCAGGAUCUUGGUCAUUGAAAGGGCUCCAAUGGUCAAGGUCGAUGCACCGUCGCAUGUGCGACGGAUCGUCGCACCUCACCGUCGCUGUUCAAAUAUUUUUCUUUCUUUUGAUUUCUCUUUUGUACUUUGAUAAUUGUUGUAUGUUAGGUACCAUGGCUCCAAAACGACCACAAGGAAGAGGCAAAGGCCAACAAUCAGGCCAAACCUCUAAUCCACCGGCCAGAAUAACUAGACAAAGUCGUCAUCCGAGAGUGUCUUCAUCCUCUUCAUCCGAAGAGGUCAUUGAGAGCAGUCACAAUAUUACCCCUAUUCCAGAUCCAGUCAAAGCAGGAGUGGAAGCAUCUAGCCCCGUUCAGGAGGAUGUUCCUUAAUAGAAGGAUCCAAACUUGAUUCGGCGCAAGGAUGCGCAGUUACGGGAAGCGAUAAGAUGGCAAGUGCCAGGAUAUCGUGAUGAGUUCUACAAGCAUUUUGAACCAACGGACAGGACGCAAAUCAAAAGGGAAAUUUUUAAAGAACACCAGAUAAUUACAACAACCCUCCAUGAAUACCCAGAACUGGAGCGACGAUUCCAAGACUACCAGCUAGAUUGGAUGAGUAGGCCACUUGGUGCCCACCAACUGAACUUGGUUAGGGAAUUCUUUGCCAACUAUUUGGCGUUGUUGAAGAAGGCUUUCCCAAAAGGUCGUUCACUAGCUGACCAAAACAAGUUAGAUAUAGUUCUAGACGCGACGUUGAUAUUGAUAUUUCUGAAAGGACACUGAAUAGAUUCUUGUUUGGGCCUGACUAUCAAAUCCCAGGGGCGAUUCCUGAUUUAGAGCACCGGCUAUUCACAAGGGUGAACAAAGGCCCUGGAUAGCAAGGAUUUUGAUAGAUGGAGGGGCUCCUUCAUGGCUACAUAACUCUCAUGAUCACAUAUCAAAGAAGUCCCUGAGCUUUUGAUCCAAAUUCUGGUGGGCAUUUGUGAGACUUAGGCUCAUGCCUACGGGUGGUGAUGAUUGAUUGGAAAGCACCAGAGUUGUACUUAAUGCUGCCUUGAUUGAGGGCUUCACAGUGGAUUUUGUUCACAUCAUCGCUGACCAGCUAUUCUUCCAUAUCCACAAGACUCACGCGGCAUUACCAUUUCCCUGCCUCAUCACCAAACUAUUCAAAAAGGCAAAUGUUCCGCUAAUAAGCAGAAUUGAUAAUGAGGUCCCGACGCUACAUAAAUAAGACAUAGAAAAGAUGAAAGAUGAGUCGAGGUUCGAUUUGAGGAAAAACAAGCUUCGGGCUCAACAGACUCAGUCUGCCCCGGUGCUGCUUGACACAUCAGCAUUUUCUGCAGGUAUGCCUAUGCCUUUAACUGUUUAUGCACCGCCUACCACCUCUUCAGGAUCAGCCUCCAUGCCGAUGGGCAGGAUCCCAGACUCUACAUCUGUCCGGCCCCUACCUUCAGAGUACAAGAUGAACCCUGACAACUUUGCAAAGAUGGUGCGUCGAGUUAAUAAGGUUGAAAAACAAAUAGCUAUUUGGGGAAAAAACUUCAAACCUUUUAUUGAGCGGAUCAUCGAAGAUGCAUUACGCCCAUAUAGAAAUAUUCAGCUCCGAAUGGAUAACAUGGAGGAGCGUGUCAAUAAGAGGUUAGCGGAGAAGUCUAUCCUCGAUUUUGCAAAUGUAAUUAAGGAAGUUAGAAAGAUGUGGACAGAUAUAGACGGGUUAAUUCAGAUACCACAGCAGCCCUCCGUUGAUCCUGUUCAGAUUCCCAGCGACAAUAACGAGGGUCUUGUUGAUCUUUUUGGAAAUCCAAUCAAGGACCAAGGCAAGCAAGCUGCAGAGACAAAUGAAACCACAGAGAGGGCAGUAAAUAAAUUAGCCAAACAAGAGGAAAGAAAAUGCCGGAUAGAAGCCAUAUCACCGAAAGAGUUGGAAGCAUUUGAGGUAAAGCGAGCGACCAAGAAAUCUAGGAAAUCAGAAGCAAGGGAGCAGAAAAGACAUAAGGAUGAAGCCGCAGGAGUAUCUACCAGUACUUCCCCAGCUAGGGAGAAAAUUUCAAAACCAACUCGAGAUGUGAUACCUCAAACGUGCCAUAGGGUGAGGAUGCAGGAGCCUCACCACAUCUCACAGAUGCCUCAGAUGAGUAAGAGGUGCACCACAAGUAUAUCCCAACCUUGUACUUACACUUUAUGCAUUGAGGAUAAAGCAUGUUUUUCUGUGAGGGUGGGAUGCACUUGUGCAUGCUAGGAUUCUGUUAUCAUUUUAAGUUUAAAUAAGUGACAGUGUUACUUUUGUUUUUAGGAUUAACUUUAAAAAAUUGCAAUUUUAUUUCUUUAAACUUAUGUUGCUAGUAAUGUUUAAUGAAAUAAAAGUGUUGUCAUGAAGUUGUUGUGUGGCAUCCUAUUACAAAUACAGAUAGCAAAUAACAUUGGCACUUAGUUGCUAUUGUGUGUGCGAGAAUUUGUAUUAGUUCUUGCAUAGUAGAAUACCUAGAACUUGCCUAGUUUAAUUGAUGUCUUUUUAUAGUUGAUUGGAUAGGAAGUGAUAGCAGGCCACAUUGUUCUUUUAGUCCACUUAGCCAAAAUAAACUACCCCACUAAAGAGUUUUUAUCACUUGCACCCCUUUUGAGCCUUUAGUAAAAAAAUUUCAAAUCCAAAUAGUUGUCAACAACUCUCCUUAGAGUAUUAGUACCUAACUCUGGCCCUGGCUCAACAUUGAGCAUUAUGCACUUUAACUUAGGUAAGACACCUAAGUUGUGGGUGGCUAGUGUCAAGAUACAAGUACCCAGGAAAGUUGGAUCAGAAUGUAAAAUAAAAGCAUUUUUCCUUGAGUUGUUCAAAGAUAUUGUGUACCUUAAAUGACUGCCUCAACAUAAGUUGAGGGUGGCUGAUGCUUGUAUAAAGGUUGUGAUUUGAAAGAGACUGGGUAAUAAAGGUUGUAAACAAAAUUAAUAAACUAACAAAUUGGAGCUGUAAAUAUGUUAAGGAAAGGAGAGUUUAGUAAUGAGUCAUUCCACCCAAAAAAAGAGUGUCCUCACCUUACCUGAAGCUUUGUUAUAAGCCGAUAUAAGACCUGCUUGAUCUUAAAACUCAGCUAUAUGGGGGGCAUACAUAGAUAAAGGCAAGCUUAUGGGUACAUAUGCUAUGUUAGUAACUUCUUUGAUGAGUGAGAGAGUUUUGACUUAUAUCCACAAAAUACUUUUGAGUGGUGGAUCUCUUACUGUGAGGGCAACAUGAGUCAUGAUUACUCCAACUAAUCUCUUUAGAUUGUUGUAUUCAUGUUUUAAUAGAGAAAUUGAAGUUUAAACAAUGCCAACUAUAGACUCUGACAUGUCUAAUCAGAUGAUUUGGGUGAUGAGUAAAUGAUUGUGGGAGAACUAGUUCGGUAGUAAAGGGCCUGUCAUUGUGUUGUCCUUAUUUGCAAUAUAGGUGCUGAGUUGCUUGAGGACAAACAACUGUCUUAAGUUGAGGGUGUUGAUGUUCCGGUAUUCGACGGAACAUUUUAGGCAUUUUCCUUAAGAUAAUUGAAUGUUUUCAAGCAACUAGUGUGUAUUUAACAUUGUAUUUUAGUGUUUUCAGAAUAAAAGCGAAGUGGAAGUGAUAACUUGGAAAAGCUGGGCAAAACAAAGGAAAAAUGACCUACAAUGGCACAGGCAACGGAACGUCGGUAUUGCAACGGACCGUCAAACAGGAUCGUCGACCAAAUCCAGAAGGACACCUUACUGGAAUCCAAGCGACGGUACGAUCCGACAGGACGUCGGACAUUCGAUGGACCGUCAAUUUACAC
This 12691-nucleotide long non-coding RNA is filed under the name Capsicum annuum. RNAcentral describes it as "long non-coding RNA (CANN_LNC001921)". Lineage: Eukaryota; Viridiplantae; Streptophyta; Magnoliopsida; Solanales; Solanaceae. The record is from RNAcentral.